RNAcentral lists this ribosomal RNA (150 nucleotides) under Triticum aestivum (bread wheat). Its description in RNAcentral is "partial small subunit ribosomal RNA". The record is from RNAcentral. Lineage: Eukaryota; Viridiplantae; Streptophyta; Magnoliopsida; Poales; Poaceae.
AUGAACACGCUCGAGUACUUCAAGACCCACCUCAAGUACGAGAAGAACCCCAAGAUCAAGGAGGCUACCACCGCCAAGUUAACCGAGUACCUCCGCCGCUCCGAGGAGAUCCGGGCCGUCCUCGAGCAAAACUUAUCUGGAUAUAUCUGA